This 268-nucleotide long non-coding RNA is filed under the name Gossypium raimondii (Peruvian cotton). Its description in RNAcentral is "long non-coding RNA (GRAI_LNC006702)". The record is from RNAcentral. Lineage: Eukaryota; Viridiplantae; Streptophyta; Magnoliopsida; Malvales; Malvaceae.
AAUAGCAGCAAAGACAGUCAAAAGUGUGGAUUUGAUUGAAGAAGUAGAUGUUACAGCUGAAAAUGGUGAUGAAGAUGAGAGUUGGGGCAGAUUCCAUGAGGAGGAUGAAGAGGACGAGGGUGAUGAUGAGAUGGAAAAUCCGGGUGAUGUGUCAAUUGGAAAGAAAAUCUGGACAUUUUUUACCUCAUAAGUCAUAAGGCUCCUAUUUUGUUUUUGUUUUUUAAUUUUCUUUGAGACUGAGGGACGUUGCUAUGCUACACUUUGGCAC